AGAGUUUGAUCCUGGCUCAGGAUGAACGCUAGCGGCAGGCUUAAUACAUGCAAGUCGUGGGGCAGCAUAAGUAGCAAUACUUGAUGGCGACCGGCAAACGGGUGCGGAACACGUACGCAACCUUCCUUUAAGCGGGGAAUGGCCCAGAGAAAUUUGGAUUAAUACCCCAUAGUAUAAUAGAAUGGCAUCAUUUUAUUAUUAAAGAUUUAUCACUUAAAGAUGGGCGUGCGGCUGAUUAGGUAGUUGGCGGAGUAACAGCCCACCAAGCCUGCGAUCAGUAACUGGUGUGAGAGCAUGACCAGUCACACGGGCACUGAGACACGGGCCCGACUCCUACGGGAGGCAGCAGUAAGGAAUAUUGGUCAAUGGACGCAAGUCUGAACCAGCCAUGCCGCGUGGAGGAUGAAGGCCCUCUGGGUUGUAAACUUCUUUUAUCUGGGACGAAAAAAGGUUUUUCUAAAUCGUCUGACGGUACCAGAUGAAUAAGCACCGGCUAACUCCGUGCCAGCAGCCGCGGUAAUACGGAGGGUGCAAGCGUUAUCCGGAUUCACUGGGUUUAAAGGGUGCGUAGGCGGGCAGGUAAGUCAGUGGUGAAAUCUUUGGGCUUAACCCGAAAACUGCCAUUGAUACUAUCUGUCUUGAAUAUUGUGGAGGUGAGCGGAAUAUGUCAUGUAGCGGUGAAAUGCUUAGAUAUGACAUAGAACACCCAUUGCGAAGGCAGCUCACUACGCAUAUAUUGACGCUGAUGCACGAAAGCGUGGGGAUCAAACAGGAUUAGAUACCCUGGUAGUCCACGCCCUAAACGAUGGAUACUCGACAUACGCGAUACACUGUGUGUGUCUGAGCGAAAGCAUUAAGUAUCCCACCUGGGAAGUACGAUCGCAAGAUUGAAACUCAAAGGAAUUGGCGGGGGUCCGCACAAGCGGUAGAGCAUGUGGUUUAAUUCGAUGAUACGCGAGGAACCUUACCUGGGCUAGAAUGCAUUUUGACCGUGGGUGAAAGCUCACUUUAUAGCAAUAUACAAUUUGUAAGGUGCUGCAUGGCUGUCGUCAGCUCGUGCCGUGAGGUGUUGGGUUAAGUCCCGCAACGAGCGCAACCC
Molecule: ribosomal RNA, 1099 nt
Filed under: uncultured bacterium
Lineage: Bacteria
Description: bacterial SSU rRNA
Rfam family: Bacterial small subunit ribosomal RNA
Source: RNAcentral